RNAcentral lists this transfer-messenger RNA (368 nucleotides) under Actinomycetaceae. RNAcentral describes it as "Georgenia sp022759505 Standard tmRNA". It matches the Rfam family "transfer-messenger RNA". Rfam says of the family: Bacterial tmRNA, also known as 10Sa RNA or SsrA, is named for its dual tRNA and mRNA-like properties. Its role is to liberate the mRNA from a stalled ribosome. The record is from RNAcentral. Lineage: Bacteria; Bacillati; Actinomycetota; Actinomycetes; Actinomycetales. RNAcentral also lists the same sequence under 1 other name.
GGGGAUGAUCGGUUUCGACGACGGUUGUCGUCCCAGGGGAAGCGGGUCGAGGAUGCAGAGUCAUCUCGUCAACGCUCUCUGCAAACCAAUAGGUGCCGAUUCCAAGCGCACCGAGUUCGCCCUCGCCGCCUGAGCGAGGCCUGAACUCCGUCAGCCCGGGCUAGCUCUCGUCCCGGAUCCUGGCGUCGACUAGAGAGCCACUGCUCGCCGCCCUCGUCAUCGGGGCAGCGGGGACACCUAGAUGACUGGGCCCGUCAGCGACUUGUCUGCGUGAUCGCUGGGGCCGAGAAAAUCAGCAGCAGACUGCACCCGGAGAAGCCCUGGUUCAGCACCGUCGGACGCGGGUUCGAUUCCCGCCAUCUCCACCC